This is a long non-coding RNA of Pistacia vera, 1576 nucleotides long. RefSeq lists it as uncharacterized. NCBI's taxonomy places the organism in Eukaryota, Viridiplantae, Streptophyta, Magnoliopsida, Sapindales, Anacardiaceae. The record is from RefSeq and is a predicted model, not a curated record. The transcript is spliced from 3 exons.
AAAGAAGUUGUUUGAUACUAUAACUAGAAAGGGGUAUAGACCUGAUGUUGUUUGCUACACUACUUUAAUCAAUUGGUAUUGCAAGAAUAAAGAAGUCAAUGAAGCUCUUAGUCUUUAUCGGGAGAUGAUUUCAAAAGGAAUUAGGCCUAAUGUGAUUACAUAUACCACCUUGUUAACUGGCUUUUUUCUUAUAGCUAAGGUGAAAGAUGCACGGAAUUUGGUUGGUGAGAUCGACUUAACGAUGUUUUCCCUGAUUCCUGGACAUAUAACAUUUUCAUUGAUGGACUUUGCAAGAAUGGAUGUGUUUUGGAAGCAUUGGAAAUGUUUAAUACUCUAGUAAUUAAUAAGUUUGCAGUUGGCAUUGAAGGUUUGAGUUCCCUCAUUGAUGGAUUAUGUAAAACAGGGAGAUUCGAAACUGCUUGGGACCUAUUUUAGAAAUUUUCUCUUCAUGGAAACCUGGUGCCAAACGUUGUAACAUAUAGCAUUUUGAUCAAUGGGAUGUGUAAAAAUGGAGCACUAGAAAUGGCAAACGAGUUGUUGUCAUAUAUGGAGGAAAGAGGUUGUGCUCCAAAUGUAGUCACAUUUAAUACGCUUAUGUCUUGUUUCCUCAGGAAUAAUGAGAUACCAAAAGUUGUUGAACUCCUUCAAAAGAUGGGGGAGAAAAAUGUGAAGCCGACUGAAUGUACAAUGUCCUUAGUCAUGUUGUUACUAAUGAAGGCCGAAAAUUAUAGUGAAUGUUUGAACAAGCUUCCUCAAUUUCUGGUCCAAAAGCGAAAUUGAAGUUUACUUGAUAAAACUUUAGUGAGUAUUAAACUUUUUUUCAGAGCAGAAUCCUGCAAAAGUUCAUCCAGCUGCCCAAAUGCUCUAUAUUGGUUAUGGUAAGCAGAAGAUUCAAUAAACACUUUUAUCUGUUCGAAUUUGAUAGGGAUGGUGAUGGGAUGAUUGAGAAUGAUAGUUUUCUUGAUCAGACAUAUGAUACAUGAUCUGUCACUGUUGUAAGUACAUAUAUUGGAGGUGGCAGCAUUACAGGUUGCGUUGGGAUUUGCACAUGUAGUAGAUCUUAAAGGUUUGAGGAUUAUUUUUGGUGUAAAUUUUAGUAAGCAAAAGUUGUAUAUGAGGAAUUGUGGAAUGGUUCUUACUUCAACUACGACAAUAAUGGUAGCCGCUCAAGUUCAUCUAUUCAAGCUAAUCAGUUUACUGGACAAUGUUAUGCACGAGCAUGUGCUCUUUCAGCGAUAGUUGAUGAAGGCAAAGCACAAAGAGCAUUAGAGAAGGUUUUUCACCAGAAUAUCUUAAAGAAUAUGGAUGCAGAACAGGGGCCAGCCAAUGGGAUCUAACUGUUGGAACAGUUAAAAUGACAACAUUGCAGUCAAGAAAAAUAUGGUCUGGUGUUACAUAUGCAGUUGCUAUAACGAUAAUCAUGGAGAUUUGGUCGAUAUGGGAUUUCAAAUUUCCAUUGAAAUCUAUGAAGUAGCAUGGUCUGAAAAUGCACUUGUUUAUUUUUUCUAAACUCCUGAAGCUUGGACCACCAUUGAUUGUUUUAGAGCGCUAAAUUACAUGCAUUCGUUGGCCAUAU